UACGUAGGCAGCGAGCGUUGUUCGGAGUUACUGGGCGUAAAGGGUGCGUAGGCGGUUGUUUAAGUUUGGUGUGAAAUCUCCCGGCUCAACUGGGAGGGUGCGCCGAAUACUGAAUGACUAGAGUGCGGGAGAGGAGAGUGGAAUUCCUGGUGUAGCGGUGAAAUGCGUAGAUAUCAGGAGGAACACCGGUGGUGUAGACGGCUCUCUGGACCGUAACUGACGCUGAGGCACGAAAGCGUGGUAGCAAACAGG
Molecule: ribosomal RNA, 252 nt
Filed under: uncultured bacterium
Lineage: Bacteria
Description: partial 16S ribosomal RNA
Rfam family: Bacterial small subunit ribosomal RNA
Source: RNAcentral